RNAcentral lists this transfer RNA (72 nucleotides) under Candidatus Woesebacteria bacterium. RNAcentral describes it as "tRNA-Thr". It matches the Rfam family "tRNA". From Rfam's summary of the family: Transfer RNA (tRNA) molecules are approximately 80 nucleotides in length. Lineage: Bacteria; Candidatus Woeseibacteriota. The record is from RNAcentral.
GCCCUGAUGGUUCAGUGGUAGAACGCAUUCUUGGUAAGAAUGAGGUCGAGGGUUCGAUUCCCUCUCAGGGCU